RNAcentral lists this long non-coding RNA (763 nucleotides) under Ananas comosus (pineapple). RNAcentral describes it as "long non-coding RNA (ACOM_LNC043616)". Lineage: Eukaryota; Viridiplantae; Streptophyta; Magnoliopsida; Poales; Bromeliaceae. The record is from RNAcentral.
CUUAUGCCAUCCUUGAUGAUAUCGUAGCGUACAUUGGAUAUUUGAUAUAUUGGAUUGAUAAGGAUUGGGUCUAGAUUGUGAAUCCUAUAAUGUAGAGGAAAUGAUGAACUAUGAACGAGUGGCAUCUAGUCAAUAGUAAACCAUGAACGAGUGGCAUCUAGUCGAUAGCGAACAAACAGACAAUCUAGUUAAUAGUGUAUGCGACACCUAUGGACUAUAUGAUGAUUGUGACUCUAGAGGACAGGGUAUCCUCGAGCUUAGAGGAUUGGAUCAUGCUCACGGUCUGUUAAACCUUGUGAUGGAAGCCCCACACAAGUAGUGCGCUCCGGAUGUUGGUCACGCCAGGGAUUGCCUAUAUGGCCCCGCCAGACGGUCUCGGGUCCGUAGUGUGAGUUGAUUCUCCCUACGUGUCGAGAUGGCUAGUGAGCGGUAGGCGAGCCUUCGGGUAAGCCAUGAGAUUAAUGAACAAGUAAAUGAGGUUAAUGAUCGAGUGAAUAGCUUCACCUUUGGACAUGAUGACAGGUUAGUUGCUUACCAAUUCAUUGGACAUGCAUUCAUAUAUCUAUGAUUGGGCAUAGUAGAAUAGCUUCAUUUCCGUCAUUUACAGCUUCCUUAUCUAUCUAUCUAUCUAUUGGUAUAUCUACUUGUGCCCGCUUGGACCUAGUGGGGAGAUCGGCGGAGUCGGCGGCCGAACCCACUGGGAACUAAGGAAGUUAGUUCUCACCCCCAUUUUUACCACAGGUUCCAGUUCGGGCAUCCCCGG